RNAcentral lists this long non-coding RNA (1233 nucleotides) under Homo sapiens (human). Its description in RNAcentral is "HSALNT0340966". The record is from RNAcentral. Lineage: Eukaryota; Metazoa; Chordata; Mammalia; Primates; Hominidae.
GGGAAAGAAAGGGAAGAAAGAAAAUGGUGAUUUGCAUUCUUGGACACAUGGUUAAAUUUCAAGAGGUGUGUACUUUUAUACCUGGACCCAGAACAUGUGCAGAAAUGUAAAUUCCAUUCCUCAACCUUCCCACAGGUGUGAUUGUGACAUAUAACUUUGCCCAGCCAGAAUUUGACUGAUUUGACUAUACUGCCUGAAUAAAGCCCACAGUGUGGGUUGUGACAUAUGCCUAAGCCAAAAGCCUCAGUAAGGUGACCCUCCUGCCUAGUCCCUUCUCACAGGUGGCAUUGUGAUAUACCUCUGGUCUCAUUCCCAGAUGAUGUGAUUGUCAUCUCCUGCCUGGGCCCGGUUCAUAAAGGGGAUUGUGACAUAUUGCUGAGCCAGGAAUCAUGUGAUGUAAUCUUUCAGCCAGGGUUCUGCCCACAGGAGGCAUUGUGACAAAUCACUCGUCCCAGCACCAUAGUGAUGUGAAUUUCCUACCAGCACUCAACUCACAGAGGGGAUACUAAUACACCCCUGGCUGAGUAUUCAGGUGAUGUGACUCUCCUGCCUGGUUCUGCCCACAGCCAAUAGAUGAAAAAAGAUUCAAGGAAGACACAUUUGCUUUUUAUUCACUCAUCACUUCCCAUCACUAUGCUGACCAGAGUCAAUGUGAGCAGAGUUGAGAAUAGCAGUUUUCUGGCAGGAGAGCCACUUCUCAGCAAAAAAUGACACACUCAAAGUAUAAAUCUUUCAUGGAAGGCUCACAUAUUUUCAGCAAAUUAAGCAUAUGCAUGAAUAAAAUUCUUGUGGUGAAAUAAAGAUUCAUUUUAUUGAUUCCUAUUGAGCUCAGGUAAUAUUGGAUGAAAAGCAAAAAAAUUAUUUGAAAUAGAAAUAUUGUGAAUAAAGUUAUUGUCAAUUAAAGUAAAAAUAUUAUCUCACACUUGUCAUCUUAUCUAUAGUUGUACAAUAUCAAAUGCUACUUUUUAUUAACAAUUGUACUUCAUAUAAGUAUUCCAUUUAUUUCACCCUUCUUAACUGUUUCAAUGCCUUCUGCACUUCAUAUCAGUGAAAAGCAGGCCGGCUGGUGCCAGGAAAUGGAUGUGGUGCUAUUGCUACUUUAAGAGUAAUGAUGAAGAGCACUUGUCUGAAUUGUUCCCAAGUGGCCAACACUGUUAUUUGGCCCAAAGUACACACAUUUCUUAUUUUCCUCUAAAUUUACUGCUGAAAUAAAAUUCUUAGCUAAGAAAGGCU